GAGGUUGUGGCUCAGUGGUAGAGUGCUAGCCUAGCACAUGAGAGGCCCUGGGUUCAAUGCCCAGCACCACA
This 71-nucleotide transfer RNA is filed under the name Marmota monax (woodchuck). Its description in RNAcentral is "tRNA.Ala". It matches the Rfam family "tRNA". Rfam says of the family: Transfer RNA (tRNA) molecules are approximately 80 nucleotides in length. Their secondary structure includes four short double-helical elements and three loops (D, anti-codon, and T loops). Further hydrogen bonds mediate the characteristic L-shaped molecular structure. tRNAs have two regions of fundamental functional importance: the anti-codon, which is responsible for specific mRNA codon recognition, and the 3' end, to which the tRNAs corresponding amino acid is attached (by aminoacyl-tRNA synthetases). tRNAs cope with the degeneracy of the genetic code in two manners: having more than one tRNA (with a specific anti-codon) for a particular amino acid; and 'wobble' base-pairing, i.e. permitting non-standard base-pairing at the 3rd anti-codon position. Lineage: Eukaryota; Metazoa; Chordata; Mammalia; Rodentia; Sciuridae. The record is from RNAcentral.